Long non-coding RNA from Daucus carota subsp. sativus, 1307 nucleotides. RefSeq lists it as uncharacterized. The record is from RefSeq and is a predicted model, not a curated record. The transcript is spliced from 3 exons. NCBI's taxonomy places the organism in Eukaryota, Viridiplantae, Streptophyta, Magnoliopsida, Apiales, Apiaceae.
CGGACCUGUGAAGGGGCUAGGGUGGGCCUUAGCCCGGUCAAAUUUUUGAACGCUCAAAAUUUUACCAGUCUUGCUACUCGUUUACUGAUCCUUAGCCCCGUACAAAAUUUUUAAAAGCCCACUCUUCUUUUGAAAAUUCUGGUUUCUAACUGUAUCAUUGAAAGUCGUUGCUGUCACUUUAAUGUUUUUAUUAUUCUCUAUUUUAUAUUACUUUUGAUUAAUCUUUUUAAUUUCUCAUACUUGUGUAAAACACUUAUAUAAAUAUAGCAUAAAAGUUAAAAAUAUAAGCAAUUUUGCGUAUAAUUUAUUAUUUUUUGUUUCGUGUUUCCCUUGAUUUAUCAUUUUUUUAAUUUUCUAAUUUGUGUAAAACACUUAUAUAAAUAUAGCAUAAAUAUCAAUAGUUUUGUUAUUUUAUGUUACGAUAUAUUUCGUUAAACUUAAUGUUAACACUAUUGUGAGUAAAAUUUAUUUAGAUUUUUAAUAUAUUAUAAAUUUAUGUUCGUAUUUAUUUGUUACAAUAUUUAUGAUUUAUCUUUUAUUUAUAAUUUUACAUUCAAUGUAAAAUUAUCAAUUAUGAUCCACAAUUCAUAAAUAUUAUUUAUAUAUUUCAUAGUACAUAAAUAUUAUAAACUCGAAAUCGAUUUUUACUAACACUCAAACAUGAAGUUCGUCAAGAAAAAAAAAAGACAUUAAUUUUUUCACAUGUAAAAUUAUUAAAUACUACUUUUUUUUUCCUUUGGCCUUUACCGGCUCCUAGUAUUUUAGCCCCGGUAAAGCUCAAACUCUGGGUCCGCCCCUGCCUGUAAGCAUUGCAUUCCAAACAACCACAUCCUUGUCCAUAAUUUCAUCGAAAAGGGUCAUCGAAUACCCAACACACCCACCUCUUGAAUACUUAACUAGCAGAGAAGUUGCACUAGGCAUUCCAUCAAACACAUGGUGGGCAUUGGAUAUGCAAGCAAGUGAAUGCAGAGAAACACAGAACACAUUUGCUAAGGACAAAGUGGGUCCGAUGGGUGGUAAUGAAUAUGUAUGCUGCUGCUUUCUCCAGUUGAUUAAUGAGUAAAAUUGAAAGUGAGUUUAAUGGUCGUUCAAGGAGAAGCAGGCGAAAUAUGCACCGUUGUAAGAGGAGAUUUGAAUUGCAAUAUAGACGAAUGUGCUAGUUGGUGUUCAAGUACAUACAACGGCAAUGGAACUUGCACGGCUAUCAAUUGCACAUGCAUGUACCCAUGUCCUCGCUGAUAUUUUUCUCAAUGAUAUCUGUAUUACAUAUUAUUUUUAUUGACUAAUAAUGAUGGUAAUAUAAUAAA